AAGUCGUAACAAGGUUUCCGUAGGUGAACCUGCGGAAGGAUCAUUCAUAAAUUGUCUUUUAAUAUGGACAUUUUAAAUCCAUAUCCACCUUGUGUGCAUUGUUAUUAGUUUGCUUUGGUAUACUUUUGUAAGUGUAGGUUUUUAUUUUUUAAAAAUCUCGCUUCUACUCUUUUGUUUUACAAGGGAGUUGGGUAUGCCAGAGUUAAAUAUUAAACACCUUUUGAAAUUCUUUUGUCUGAAAACUUUUUGAACUUAUAAUUCAAAAUACAACUUUCAACAACGGAUCUCUAGGUUCUC
This 297-nucleotide unclassified non-coding RNA is filed under the name Mortierella sp. RNAcentral describes it as "partial internal transcribed spacer region". The stretch from base 1 to 46 matches the Rfam family "Eukaryotic small subunit ribosomal RNA", at positions 1786 to 1831 of the family's 1831-position model. The record is from RNAcentral. Lineage: Eukaryota; Fungi; Mortierellomycota; Mortierellomycetes; Mortierellales; Mortierellaceae.